Molecule: long non-coding RNA, 3331 nt
Organism: Dermochelys coriacea (leatherback sea turtle)
Lineage: Eukaryota; Metazoa; Chordata; Testudines; Dermochelyidae
Exons: 3
Source: RefSeq, a predicted model, not a curated record
AGGACGGAUUUGCUUCGGGGAGGGGCAGGACGCCUGGGUUCUCUCUCAGAUUGGGAGAGUGGAUGGGCUAGUCAGUGGUUAGAACAGAGGAGGCUGGUCGCUAGGAUGCCUGGGUUCUAUCCUCUGCUUGGAGACGGGGGGCGUCUAAUAGUUGGUCGGGGGUGGCAGGACUCUUGGAUUCUUUUCCCUGCUUGGAGAUGGGAUGAAGGGUUUAAUCGUUAAAGGGAGGUCAGGAUGCUUGGUUCUCUCCCCGGUUCUGGGAGGGGAGUGGGGUCUUCUGGUUGGAGAGUGUGUGUGUGUGUGGAGAGGGCCUUUGGGACCAGCAAUCCUGGGUUCUUUCCCCUGCUCAGAGAUGGGAGGGGGGUGUCUAAUGGUGAGAACAGGGAGGUCAGGGGACUGGGAGGUAAGGCUUUUGGGGUUUCAGUCCCAGCUCUCCCCAUCUGUAUAUGGAUGCCUCCCCCUUGGUGGGUUGCCGGAGCUGGAAUGCAGCUGGGAGGUAACUGGCCCAGAUUCUGCCAUGCUUGCCCUAAAUCUGUGCUGUUGCUGAAGGAUCCCUAGGGUCCAUCAGCCCAGGGAGCCCAUCUAGCCUGGCCUUUGAGAGUGGCACCUUCUUGUGGACAAUUGUGGAAUAACCUGCUCAGGGGAGUAACUUCCUCCUGCUCCCCUUAUUGCUGAGCCAUGCCCUCAACUGCAGACUUUCCUCCUGCCCCCUCACUCCAGGGCCGUGGCUCCUCUGCCUUGCUGGGAGUGAUCCAAGAACCUCUGAUUGGCCAUUCAACCUCUGUUGAAUUCAUGUGGUGACCCCAAACCAAGGAAAUUCAAUCCCUACAGCCUGAUGAACGCUGGACAAAUUCUUUGUGCUUCUGCAGCAGAUUCGACCCUGGAAUGAUCCCAAAGCAGAAUUCAGGCUGCGGAUUCUAAUGAGAGAAGAUGGAGAGAACAGGCAAUGAAAUCAUCUGCCCUGGUGAUGUGAUUUGCAGAGAAGCUGGGGGAGGGGAAGUGGAUGAGCCGGGUUUGUGAGCUGGGAGGAGGGCACUGGGAAGCGAUAAGUAUGGAUUUGAAGGGGCUGAUUUGAUCCCAUUGAUUUUUCAGGAGGCCAACGCUCACACACACAGGUCAAGAAUGAAAUCCUGGUGCUGGCAUUCAUCCUCAUGGACGCUUAGGGGAUGGAGGCAGUGGGAUGCAGUUGGGUAGUUUUGUUUCCUUGGGUGAAGUGGAUGUCCCUGCAGAAUAAGACAGGCUUGUGGCCUAUGCUGAGGCAGUGCUGCCAGAUGUAGAGGUUCUUUUUGGGCUCCAGGGUCAUCUUGAGUGACUCAUCUUCUUGGGCUUUGAUCCAAUUCUCCUGCUCCGUGUGGAUGCUUCUCCCGCCGUACUCGGCCCUGAGGGAGAACUGGGCCUGGGUGAUGAGCUUGGUGAGGGCUCCGGACCCAAGGGACAGCUCAGCGGAGAUGCUCCAGUUGUGCUCGACGCUGGACAUCUGGUGCUUGGCAUGGCCCACUUGCGGGUGACCUUAUCAGACCAGGCGAUGGGGGAAUCGGAAUUGUUGUGCAGGGACUUGAUACACUCCCAGCUGCUGGUUGAGGUGCCCUUGGUGAGGGUCAGCCCCCUGGGGAAGAAGUUCACCAUGUUGGGGUGGACGGAGAAGGAGAUCUGUUGGUGGGCUCAGUACUACGUGUAUAUGAACAUGAGCUCUACCCACCAUUUCUCAUCCGCCUUCAGUACUGUUGGGAAGAAGUAGUAGAGGCCCUUGCAGCAUUCAGGAUGCAGGGGAGCAUCCAUCCCAUGUUCAUCUGUGCCCAUGUCAAGGACAGAGCACACAACACGCUGCUCUAGGAAGAUGAUGUGGAACCCAGAAGCAAGUACAUGUAGUGGUCCCCGCCACAGCAGUUGGGAUGCAGCUUAUGGACCUUGGCCUCAGCAUCUGUGCUGAAGUCCUUUACCACCCGGUAGCAAUCCAGGUUGGAGCAGAUGAUAAAGAAGCCCUUUUGAUUAUCGAAGAUGUCGGUGCCCGAGGUGUCAUUGUGAGGGACCAAUGGUCCAUCGGCAGGACUCCAGUCCUGAGACGAGGAGAAGUGAGGGCAGGAUGUUAGCUCAUCUCAUCUUAUCCUUUGUGAACCUUUGAUGCUUGAAGACCCCCAGUUCCAAGAGCGACCAGGCACCUGUCCAUGAUGAAGUCUCCAGAUGUGCCCUGCAGACUAAUCUCCAGGGGGUGGCGCAAUCCUGAGGAAGGGGAAAGCCCAGCGACCUGCCCCAUGAGGAUUCCACCUCACACGGGCUCCCACUUACCACCAUGGAUCUGUCCAACUGGGACAUGUCUCCUCCAUCUCACCCCAUAAGUGCGAAGGGCUGCCCUGAGUGGAGAUAAAGAGGGGAGGAAAUAUCGACAGUAGCUCGAGGACUAACUCUGUGCCCUGCCAGGAGUCCAUGAAUAGAGCUCACAGGAAAACAACGCACCAAAGGUCCCUCACUCCUGACCCGCAACCCCCCAGCUUUCCCAGCCCUGGGCUCAGCCCUCGCCACCAGCUCUGCCGGUGCCCCUCAGUCCCAACACACAAGCCCCCUGCUAGCCCAGCCCUGGGGUCCCCCUGCCCCAAAGUUCCAGCUGACACUCCCACCUGGUAAUUGCUCUCAGCUGAUGACAGCUCCGCUUGGGGCCAGGAGCGAGUUCCUGGGUCGUACUGAGAUGGACGGGACCUUGGAGAAGAGCAAAACCAGCCCUGCAAUUCUCUGGAUCUAAACGCUGAUGGGGUCUGUGUAGAAGUAACAUUUUAUAUUUGUACUAUAAGAAUUAAUGUAUAAUUUAAUCAUCCUGCCAGCCAUCCCUUUUGAACAGCAGAAAGGAAAGACCCUCUGGGACGUUGGUAAAAACACAUCUGACAGACUGCCAGUGUCUGUACUAAUUUAAGGCAAAAACAGACCAAAACAAUCUUUAUAACUAAUUAUGGUCACCCUUUUGUUUUAAAAUAAGUUGUAAUGUUUACUAUGGUUUCCUAUAUGUAUUAUAGAUUAGGCAGUCUAGUUAAAUGUACAUUUCUUUGUUUUAAGGUUUAGUAAGUAAAAAACAGAAUCUUGUAUUAUGUCUACAUUUAAAAAAAAAUAUAUAUUUUUUUUUUUGAAAAGCCCAGGCCACAAUGUGAACUGUUUUAAUGACAAAAUGUAGUCAGGUUUAAUUUACAAUGCCUUUUCUUUGUCAACAUACAAACUACUGUAUACCUUUAAAGGUCUCUGUAAAAAAUGGUUUAUGUAAAUAAAAAAAUGUAUGCAUUUAAAAAAAAAAAGUGUAAAGGCCCUUGUUAUAGCCAAAUCAAAAAAAAUAAAAUAAAAACCAUCA